GGGGCUGUAGCUCAGUGGUAGAGUAGUUGCCUAGCACAUGUGAGGCACUGAAUUUGAUCCUUAGCACCUAAUAAUAAGUAAAUAAAUAAAGAAAGAAAGAAAGAAAGAAAGAAAGGUAUAUUUUGUCAAUCACAACUAAAAGUUAUAAGAAAAAAGUAGGUUAUAUUACCAAGGAUGGGAUGUAGCUCAGUAACAGUGUUCAUUCCUAUCAAGACCAAUGGCAGGGGUGCCAUCCCAAGCCCCA
This 244-nucleotide transfer RNA is filed under the name Marmota monax (woodchuck). RNAcentral describes it as "tRNA.Ala". The record is from RNAcentral. Lineage: Eukaryota; Metazoa; Chordata; Mammalia; Rodentia; Sciuridae.